ACUCCUACGGGAGGGCAGCAGUAGGGGAAGUCUUCCACAAUGGGCGCAAGACCUGAUGGAGCAACACCGCGUGAGUGAAGAAGGGUUCGGCUCGUAAAGCUCUGUUGUUAAAGAAGAACACGUAUGAGAGUAACUGUUCAUACGUUGACGGUAUUUAACCAGAAAGUCACGGCUAACUACGUGCCAGCAGCCGCGGUAAUACGUAGGUGGCAAGCGUUAUCCGGAUUUAUUGGGCGUAAAGAGAGUGCAGGCGGUUUUCUAAGUCUGAUGUGAAAGCCUUCGGCUUAACCGGAGAAGUGCAUCGGAAACUGGAUAACUUGAGUGCAGAAGAGGGUAGUGGAACUCCAUGUGUAGCGGUGGAAUGCGUAGAUAUAUGGAAGAACACCAGUGGCGAAGGCGGCUACCUGGUCUGCAACUGACGCUGAGACUCGAAAGCAUGGGGUAGCGAACAGGAUUAGAUACCCUGGUAGGAUA
Molecule: ribosomal RNA, 474 nt
Filed under: uncultured bacterium
Lineage: Bacteria
Description: bacterial SSU rRNA
Rfam family: Bacterial small subunit ribosomal RNA
Source: RNAcentral